UACGAAGGGGGCUAGCGUUGUUCGGAAUUACUAGGCGUAAAGCGCACGUAGGCGGAUACUUAAGUCAGGGGUGAAAUCCCGGGGCUCAACCCCGGAACUGCCUUUGAUACUGGGUAUCUCGAGUCCGGAAGAGGUGAGUGGAAUUCCGAGUGUAGAGGUGAAAUUCGUAGAUAUUCGGAGGAACACCAGUGGCGAAGGCGGCUCACUGGUCCGGUACUGACGCUGAGGUGCGAAAGCGUGGGGAGCAAACAGG
RNAcentral lists this ribosomal RNA (253 nucleotides) under uncultured bacterium. Its description in RNAcentral is "partial 16S ribosomal RNA". It matches the Rfam family "Bacterial small subunit ribosomal RNA", at positions 524 to 776 of the family's 1533-position model. The record is from RNAcentral.